Molecule: ribosomal RNA, 253 nt
Filed under: uncultured bacterium
Lineage: Bacteria
Description: partial 16S ribosomal RNA
Rfam family: Bacterial small subunit ribosomal RNA
Source: RNAcentral
UACGGAGGAUCCAAGCGUUAUCCGGAUUUAUUGGGUUUAAAGGGUGCGUAGGCGGCCUAUUAAGUCAGUGGUGAAAGCCUGCAGCUUAACUGCAGAAUUGCCAUUGAUACUGAUGAUCUUGAGUAUGAUUGAGGUGGGCGGAAUGUGUCAUGUAGCGGUGAAAUGCUUAGAUAUGACACAGAACACCGAUUGCGAAGGCAGCUCACUAAGCCAUAACUGACGCUGAUGCACGAAAGCGUGGGGAGCAAACAGG